Molecule: ribosomal RNA, 450 nt
Filed under: uncultured bacterium
Lineage: Bacteria
Description: partial 16S ribosomal RNA
Rfam family: Bacterial small subunit ribosomal RNA
Source: RNAcentral
GUGAGGAAUAUUGGGCAAUGGGCGAAAGCCUGACCCAGCCACGCCGCGUGAGUGAUGAAGGCCUUCGGGUUGUAAAGCUCUGUGGGGAGGGAAGAAAAAGCGGGAGAGUAACUGCUCUCGUGUUGACGGUACCUCCUUAGCAAGCACCGGCUAACUCUGUGCCAGCAGCCGCGGUAAUACAGAGGGUGCAAACGUUGCUCGGAAUUACUGGGCGUAAAGCGCGUGUAGGCUGACAUGCAAGUCGGGUGUGAAAUCCCAGGGCUCAACCUUGGAACUGGACUCGAAACUGCACGUCUUGAGUACUGGAGAGGGAAGCGGAAUUCCGGGUGUAGAGGUGAAAUUCGUAGAUAUCCGGAGGAACACCAGUGGCGAAGGCGGCUUCCUGGACAGUAACUGACGCUGAGACGCGAAAGCGUGGGGAGCAAACAGGAUUAGAAACCCCUGUAGUCC